This 393-nucleotide ribosomal RNA is filed under the name Triticum aestivum (bread wheat). Its description in RNAcentral is "partial small subunit ribosomal RNA". Lineage: Eukaryota; Viridiplantae; Streptophyta; Magnoliopsida; Poales; Poaceae. The record is from RNAcentral.
AUGCCAGUUGAUAAUAAUAAGAAGAUCUGGAAGACGAAGAUACCUCUGAAGAAUAAAAUCUUUGCAUGGUAUCUUUGUCGCAGAGUCAUUCUUACUAAAGAUAACCUUAUUAAGAGGAAUUGGCAUGGAAGACGGCAAUGUGUGUUUUGUCAGCAUGAUGAGACAAUAAAACAUUCAUUCUUCCAUUGCAAAUUGGCUCGCUCUACAUGGUCAGUUAUCCAAAUAGCUUCUGCUUGUACCCUCCUUGUAGUGUUUCUAAUGUAUUUGGCAACUGGUUACAUGAUAUUGAUCACAGGUUUAGAACUCUUCUCAGGGUGGGAGCGUUUGCCAUUAUUUGGUCACUUUGGCUAUGUAGAAAUGAUAAGGUUUUUAACGAUAAAAGUACUUCUCUGA